RNAcentral lists this transfer RNA (541 nucleotides) under uncultured cyanobacterium. RNAcentral's name for it is "partial 16S-23S ribosomal RNA intergenic spacer". The stretch from base 212 to 284 matches the Rfam family "tRNA". Lineage: Bacteria; Bacillati; Cyanobacteriota. The record is from RNAcentral.
CAGGGAGACAACAAAAUGUUUAAUAUUAUAAUUUUGUCACCUUAGGUCGAUCGGUAUCUCACGUUCUUAAUUAGUUAAGAAUUUCAUUUCCUAAGUUUUUCUAGGUCACACCCAUUAUUUUUCCUGGGCCAUUAGCUCAGGUGGUUAGAGCGCACCCCUGAUAAGGGUGAGGUCCCUGGUUCAAGUCCAGGAUGGCCCAUAUCUCUAUGUUGGGGGUAUAGCUCAGUUGGUAGAGCGCCUGCUUUGCAAGCAGGAUGUCAGCGGUUCGAGUCCGCUUACCUCCACUGAUUACCACCUCUUCCAUAACCGGUAGAAAGGAAAUGUUUUGAGUUGUGAUCAUUAUUCUGAACGAAUCUAGCUUCCUAAUGAAACCAUUAAGAUGCUGGACUCAUUGAAUUAAUUUCAUUGUUUUCAGAGAACCUUGACAACUGCAUAGAUUUUUUUAAAGACAAUAAGCAUCUUUAAUGAUGCAGAUUUAUUAUUUGUGCGAAUGCAUUAAUAACAAUUCUAUUAAGCUGAUGCUUCAAUUUUUGAAGUUAUU